CCACCUUUACCAAAGGAAAAAUACAUCACCAAGUUUUGCCGAAGCCAGGAUUAAUCUGGAUGCUGAACCGGGACCUUUGACUUCUAUCGACCUGCGCACGGAAACAACCGUACGCUGAGUAAUUCAUACUCAGUGGUAUUACCAUAAUUCAAAUUAUAACAAUAAUGUACAUGUAAUGCAUAAAUCGUAUAUACAAUUUAAAUUCAAUAUUUCAACAAUAGCAAUUCAUCAACCAAUAUCGUAUAUCCACAAUUUGAGUUUGAAUAAAUCACGAACCUUAGGUUCAUUUCUCAAUCUCAUUUCACAUUUCAAUUCACAAUUCAACUUUUUCAUAUCAUUUCAAUAGCUCGUUUGACCAACUCGUUCGGUUUAUCAUUUCAUCAUUUACCCUAUUAACAAAACUCGGACUUUGGCGGAUACACGGAUCCAACCAAACACACCAGAAUGGCACCCAGUGCCUCAUCGGAUAGUUCGAAGCAAUAGUUGACACCCAGUGUCUCAUCGGCAAAGCCGAAGAAAGUUGGUACCCAGUACCUCAUCGAAUCUAUCCGAAGAAAUAUAGUGACACCCAGUGUCUCAUCGACUCGAGGUCGAAGUAUCCCUGAACUCUUCCAAUCCUAUGGCAUGCCAACUAUAUCCGACUCAGCCCGACUAGUUAAUAAGGUAUUUAAAUCACAUAUAUUCUCAAUUCAAUCACAAUUUCUCACACUUUCAAUUCAAUCAUUUUUCCACCUUCAAUCAAUAAUUAUUUCACAAAUUCACACAUUUUCACAACUCAAUACAUUUCCAUACAAUUUAAUACCAUUCACAAUUCGAUUCAAAUUCAUUUCCCGCUUUCAAUCAACAAACAAUUCAAAUAUUAAUUCAUAUAAACUAUUCAAUUUAAUUCCCACUCAUAAUAAUAAUACUAAUAAUAAAUUAAUACUAAUAUUAUACUUACCUCACAUUUCAUUUACUAGACACAUAAAUUAAAAUUUAGCAUUUAAUAAUAAAUAACUUGAAUUAUAGUAAUACAAACCGUUAUUCUCCCGUUUUAGUCCUCGAUAACUUUCUCCUUUCCUUUUGACGCCGAUGCCUCGGGUUCUUUGUUAGCUACGAAAAUAAUAAUUUGUAAUAUUAAUUACAGCACUAAUUAUAAUAAAUAAUUGAAUUUCUAUUUAAUUUCUUCCUAAUUCUCAAUUUAAUCCUAACUAAAUUCACUUACUUUCCUAAUUCAAUUCACACUCUAUUUCUAUUCAAAUUUCAUCCAAACUAAAAUUUAACUAUCAAAAUUUCAGCAUAUUUUGCUAAUUUCGAAUUUCCCUCAAUUUAGUCCCUAAAACAUAAAACUUAUAGUUUCUUUUACAAUUUAAUCCCUUUUUCAAUUCUAACUUAAAAUUCCUUCAAGUUAAUCCCUAAUUCAUCUCUUUUGUUCAACAUAAACUAUACUUGAAAACCUAUGAACUUACAAAAUAUCAACUUAAUUCCAUCAAAACUUUGUUUUAAAACUUUUAAAACAUUAGAAUUAAGAGAAAAUGGCUAAUUUGACUUACCAAUCAAAGCUUUAAACCUUAAACCUUCAUUUUUUCCUUUUUCUUUCUUUUUUCUUCUUUCUCCCCUGUUUCUUCUCUGUUUCGUCUUUGGCUAUUCUGUUUCUUUCUUCUUUUGUUUCUUUUAUUCUUUUAUUUUAACUUACUUUAUUUUAUUUCCUUUAUUUUAUUUCUUUUGUUUUCUUUUAUUUAAUUACUUUAAUAUAAUAAUUAAAAUAAAUAUCUAUUUAGUAAUUAAAUAUAAGUAUUACAAAUGUAUGUAUUUUAUUAAUACACUUGUAUUAAAUAUCACCAUACAUUUGUCUUUAUUUAAUUUAUUUCUUAAUAUAAUAUUUAUAAUAUAAUUAAUUUAAUAAUAUCCUUUAUAAUUAAUUUAUAUAUUUAUAUAAAUAAAUAAUAUAAAAAUCUAAGAUUUUUACAAUGUUAUGCCGCCUCAACUUCCAAAUGUGGCUUAAUUGCCCAUUUGGUCCCUCUUAUUUUCUUUUGAUCUAUAAUUAAACAUUUACCCUUUAUUCAAUUUAAUCAUUUUUCCUAAUUAUUCUUAAUUAGAUUAAAUUCAUCUAUCUAAAACUUAAUUAAACACACAACUAGUCUCGUAAAUAUUUCUAAUAAUUAUUUUCAGACUCAAUUUACUAAGACGGAGGCUCGAUAUUAUACUUUUUCGAUGCCCGUGAAUUUUGGGUCAUUACAUUUCUCCCCCCUUAAUAAAUUUCGUCCUCGAAAUUUACCUGAGAAGAGAUGAGGAUAUUGUGCUCUCAUCGUCUCUUCCGGUUCCCAAGUUGCUUCUUCCACACUAUGGCUUCUCCAUAAAACUUUUACUAAAGGAACUCGUUUAUUUCUUAAUUCUUUCACUUCUCGUGCUAAUAUUUGAACUGGUUCUUCUUCAUAAGUUAAAUCAGAUCGAAGUUCAAUGUCUUCAGUGGGAAUAACAUGAGAAGGAUCCGAUCUAUAUCUCCGAAGCAUCGAAACAUGAAAAACAUCAUGAAUUUUCUGUAACUCUGGAGGUAAGGCUAAUCGAUAAGCAACAGGCCCAAUUCUUUCCACUAUCUCAUACGACCCAAUAAAGCGCGGACUUAAUUUUCCCUUCCGACCAAAUCUCAAAAUUUUCUUCCACGGCGAUACUUUGAGGAAUACCUUAUCACCAACGGAAUAUUCAAUGUCUCGUCGUUUCAAGUCUGCGUAAGAUUUCUGUCUGUCGAAAGUGGCUUUCAGUCUAUCUUUAAUCUUUUUAACUGUUUCUUCUGUCUCUUGAAUCAAUUCCGGCCCAAUCACUUUUCUUUCUCUUAAUUCUUUCCAACAUAUUGGUGAUCGACACCUUCGACCAUAAAGUGCUUCAUACGGAGCCAUUUGAAUACUAGAUUGGAAACUAUUAUUAUAAACAAACUCGGCCAAUGGUAAAUAACGUUCCCAACCUGAUUCAAAAUCAAUGACACAAGCUCGAAGCAUAUCUUCUAAUAUCUGAAUUACUCGUUCAGAUUGUCCAUCAGUUUGAGGAUGAAAAGCUGUACUGAAACUAAGUCGAGUACCCAAUGAUUCAUGCAGCUGCUUCCAAAAUCUCGAAGUGAAUCGAGGAUCUCUGUCUGAAAUUAUUGUGAAUAGUGAAAUAAAUUAUUUUGAUUUGUUUAAGUAAUCGGAAAAUUUUUAAUGUUCUCGGUUUGGACCUGAACCAUUUCUAUUGCAUGUUUUAGGGUCUCGAGGAUCCUUUUUAGGGACAUAUUGAAUGAACGUGAGAGAAUUAAUUUUAAAGGUGAAAUUUUUAUGUUUCGAAUUAGUAAGUUAAGUCAGGUAACGCCUCGUGCUCGAUUUCGGAAACGGUCUUGGGUAAGGGGUGUUACAUGGAGACCUAGAUAGAAAUUAUUCAAAGAACUAAAAUAAUUUUUUAACCAUUAUUUAACAUGGCUUACUGGAUAAUGAUGAUUUCCAUUAAGUUAAAAUUAUAAUUACAUAUAAUUGUCUUAAUUAAGUUAAUUAGACAUGAUUAGUUAAUUAAUUAAACCUUAAGUAAGGUAUACAUUGCCAAGUUAGUGGAUGAAAGAUGAACCUUCAUCUUCUCCACCAUCCACCAUUUGAAACAAAAGGAGAAUAACUCUAUUUUUACAAUUCAUAUCCCACCAUCAAUUUAUUUAAGGUAACUAUUUAUUUUUCUUGUAAUUUUUAUAGAUUUUAUGAUCACGAGAGCUUGAUUUAGCUAGCCCAUGUAUCAAUUUUUUUCAAUUGUUAAAUUUUUAGCAAGUUGUUUGUAACAGCCCUUUUUAGUAAAAUUAGAACAGUGGUUUCAGGAUCACAAAUCUAAUGAGUAAAUUAUUAUUUUUUUAUUAUUUUAAUGUCUACAGUAUGUUAGUAGGGUCGUAUAAAAAUUUUGUUAAGAAAUUUUGACGUUUGUAUGCUUAAUUAAGUGAAAAUGACUAAAUCGUAAAAGGUGAAAAAGUGGAAUUCUAGUAGUUAAAGGUAUUAAUUAGCUAUGAAUUUUAAACGUAAGGGGAUUUAUAUGGUAAUUAGACCAUUAUUAUUAGUGGACAAAGAUGGACACAUUAUUAAGUGAUUUAAAGGUUAAUAAGCAAGGUUAAUUUUGUAAUUUAAUAAUUAUGUUAAGUAAAAUAACAUAAACUAAAACUAUCAUCUUCUUUAGUUGUUUUUUCCACCAAAAAUAAGAAAGAAAACUCCAUUGAAGGAGCUUGUACAUCCGACAUUGUCCACUGCAUGUAAGUGUUUUUGUCUCGUUUUCAAUGAUUUUUAUGUUUCCGGGAUCGUUGUAGCUAAACCGAGCUAGCCCAAUGAUUAAUUUGCAAAACUGUUAAAGAGUUAGGGUUUUGUCAUGAAUACUCUUGCAUGAUUUUUGAUGUUUGAUGGAAGAUUAUGAGUUCUUGUUGUUAAAUAAACAAGUUUUGUAAAGGGAUAUUUGAUGAAAUUGUCAUUUAGGGACUUAUUCGUAAAAAUGAUAAAAUUUUAUGUUAAAUUCAUGAAAUGGUGAUUUUUUGAGUUGGUAGGUGUCCUUAGUGAUUUUAGCUAGCAUGAAUUAGGGAUGAGAAUGUUUAAAUUUCAAUUUACGAGCUUAAGAACUAAAUUGUGAAAAAGUUAAAAUGUUAGGACAAAAUUGUAAUUUUGAAAAAUAUGAAUUAUGGACUGAAUUGUGUAGUGAAAAUAUUAAAUGAAUUGAAUUUAUCUAUUUAGAUCAAAAUAGACCUCGUAUAGAUUUAGAUAGGGAAAAGCGAAAACCUCAGAUUGAUCGACUGCAUUUUUACGCUUUGUUUGUUGAGGUAAGUUCGUAUGAUUAAAUAACAUUUUAAUGUUAUAUUGAUCUAUAUAUUCAUGUAUUAUUUUCCAUGAAAUUAAAUGAUGAAAAUUCAACUAUGUUACGAUGAUUAUCGAGUCCCGUUUGAACCUUAGAAAUACGUAAGAUACAAAUGACAUAUCAUUAGGGUUUCCAUGUUUCGAGUGCUAGUCUUGAAUCUCCUAUCGAUGGCUGAGGUCCUGUAUUUUUUGUGGAUACUCUACAGCUUGUGUGAGCAGCAUUGUGUAGCUUACAUUCUGACCUACAGCUUGUAUGAGCUGACCAAUUUCACAGCUCGUGUGAGCAACUAUGUAAAGGAAAAGGCAAGGUUACGAUUAUGUUUAGCACACUUUGUGUAACCUUUCCCGCGUAUCUGAUGUUAUUCUAAAUGGUUCAACAAAUAUGAAAAGGAAAGGAACAAUAAGUGUUCAAAUGACUUAUGUCAUGAAUCUAUGAAAAGGAUUGAAAUGGAAAUAUUCAAUGAAAGUAUACUUAUGUUCAUGAAAAUGAUGAUUUCAAAUGAAGUUGUUUAUGUAUAAUAACUUACAUUAUGUUAAUUCAAGUGAAUUAUGAAUUGAUGCACUAACAUGUGUUGUUGAUGAUGCUUAGGCUUGUGUCAAUCUUAUGGUUGGAUUGUAUCAUGCUUAAUUUUAAUGUUAUACAUUGAAAUGGUAAGAUAUGUUCAUGAUUUACGAAUUUACUGAGUAUUAUAUGCUUACGUAGUUUUCUUUCCUAUGUUUUAUAGAUAAUCGAAAGCUCGAUCAGGUUGGAAGUUCGUCGGAGAACUAUCACACUAUCCAGCAAUUAUAUUAGUAGUUAUUAAUGUUUUGGCCAAAGUUAUAAUGGCAUGUAUAGGUGGACUUGUGUUUGAAUGCUAGAUGAUAAGUUUGGCAUGUAUAUGUUAUUUUCGUUGAUGUACUUUUGGUACUUUUGAUGCCUUAUUGGUAUGUGUUAAAUUGGCUAAGAUUUGAUGCAUGCUUGAGUGACCAAAUGGUAUGUUUAUAAGGAGGUUCUAAUGAUCAUGACUAUGGUAUGUUUAGAAGUGGUAUUGAUUUACAUAAGUAUGGUUGAGAUAUGGUAAGUGUACAUGUUUAGGUAUGUUUGGUUGAUUGUAAUUGAGGUGCCUUGUAUGGCAUAUUGGUUGUAUGUUAAUGGUCUAUUGAAUUGGUCAUUUUAUGCAUGUUUUGGUAAGGUUUUGGUGCUUUGAAUUCGGGCACAAGUGGUGUUUAGGUACGACUUUGAAAUGGUGUUAGAAAUGGCUUAAUUUUGGCCAAUUUCAUGUCCACAUGGCCUGAGCCAUGUGUCCCUCGUAGGUUUUAAGGUUUGCAAGUCAGGCAGUUACACGGCCUGACACACAGGCGUGUGAGGCCAUUUCAAGAGUUAUGGCCUGGCACACGGGCGCGUGAUACCAUUUUGAGAGUUACACGGCCUGGCGUGUGUCUUGGCCAUGUGACCCAACUUCGAAAGUUACAUGGGCUGGGACACAACAGUAUGUUCCUAUUUCGAUUAUUACACGGCCUAAGAAACGGACGUGUAUCUCAGCCAUGUGAGUCACACGGCUUGGCCACACGGCCGUGUGAACCUUGCAAUUCAAUUUUUCCAACUUUUUCUUAAAUGUUCCAAAUGUUCCCAAUUUAGUCCUAAAUUGUUUCUAACGUAUUUCUAGGGCCUCGAGGGCUCAGUUAAGGGACAAUAUGUAUGUGUAUGAACUAUUUAUGCCAUGUUUAUAUUGAGGUAUGAAAUGCAUGUUUUUAUGUUACGUUUAUACAGUAAUGCUUCAUAACCUUAUUUUGACGACAGAUACAGGUUAGGGGUGUUUCAUUUUCAUUGUUGAGAAAUUGAUGAAUUAGACUUGAAAUUGAUAAAAAUUAAGCUUAGAUCAUGAUAAGGAUUGAAUUGUGAAGCUAAAUAAGCUUGAUAGUUAACUUUGUGACAUUAGGGACUAAAUUGAAUAAAUUGAAAAUAUGUCAUAAAAUUAUGUUAUGAAUAGAAAGUAUAGUCCCUGAUGAAAGAAUGUGAUAUUGUAUUUUUAUUCGAAGCUAAACAUAGAAAGUAUGCAUAUCUCGAGUAUAAUGACUAAAUUAAAUAAAAUGUAAAAUAUUCUUGUCUUUGUAUUUGAAUGUGAAUCAGAAUAAAUUGGAUAUUGUUCAUUUGUUGAAUUAUCAUAUGUAGCUAAAGACAACAUGGGGUCGUUGAGAGGGAAAGGAAAAACAAGAGUCAUCAAUGAGUGACGCAAGGAUUGGGUUUGUACUUUUCUACUUCGAGAUAAAUUUGUUUGUUUGCAUAUUCAUAUUAAUUGCGUGAUUGAGCAUCGAGGUGAGCAUAUAAUUGUUGUAUGAAUUGAUUCACUGUGAUUGAUAUUGAAAAUUGAGAUAUUAGACUGAAUUGAAUAAAAUAGAAAGUAGCAUAAUUUAAUUGAUACAUGAUAUGUGAUAUGAAAAUAGAUUGAAACAUGUUAUAUGAUAUGAGAAAAUUUUCAAUUGAUGAUGAAUUGAGACUAAUGAUAUGUGAAUUGAAUUAUAUAAUGCAAUUGAAACGUUGGUUACCUUAUUAGUUGUUCGAAUAGGGUUAGAUAUAGUUGGAUUUCAAUAUGGUCAAGUAUAAUUAUUAGAAACCAUCAUUGUCAGGCAACCCGUGAUGACAAAAUAAUUAGAUUGUGAAAAUCAUUGUUGCCGGGAAACCCGAUGUGGUACUAUGUACAUGUUCCAGUAGUCAUCAUUAUUGGAUAACCCGAGAUGACAAAGUAUUAGAUUCGUGUAUCCAUUCUAAGUCUGUGUCAGGUUAAUAUGGUUAUAAAAAUAUGAAUUGGUUAUAUGAUCAUUAAGAUGAAUGCAAUUGAGUUGGUAUACUUGUAUUCUAUAUGAAAUGUGGAAAACUACAACAUGUGAAAGACCAUGCGAACGGGUUAAAACGAGCCCUGGGGUCGUGUAACACCUCUUACCCGAGACCGUUGCCGGAAUCGAGCACGAGACAUUACUCAGCUUAUCUUACUAAUUCGGGGCAUAAAAAUUCGUUUUGAAAAUUAAUUUCACUGUUUACAGUAAUCUGUCCAAUCGCGCAGCAGUUACUAAAUUGAUUAUAACUCAAGCUACGGAACUCCAAAUUUAAUUUCGUAAUUUUUUCUGAAACUAGACUCAUAUAUAUUUCUACCAUAAAAUUUUCAGAAUUCUUGGUUUGAUCAAUUAGUACAGUUUAUUAGUUAAAGUCUCCCCUGUUUCUUCACUCGACUGUCCUGACCCCUUGGUACUAAAAAUAAAUUUUCUCAUUAUAGGAUUUUUAUAUGAUAUUACCACUUAUUUAUACAGAAAAUAGACUCAAUAAGGAUUCUAUACAUAUAAACUACAACUCAUAACUAUUUUUUUACCAUUUUUAGUGAUUUUCUAAACUCGGAACAGAGGACUCCAGAAACAGAUCUGACACUGUCUCAUUAAAAUUCACUUAUCUCAAAAUAUAAAAUUCCUUUUGUUAAACCAUUAUUUUUCUAUGAAAAUAGACUCAACAAUCUUUCAUUCCAUAUAUCAUUAACCCUCUAAUUCAUUUUAUACUAUCCUAGGUGAUUUUUCAAAAUUACGUCACUGUUGCUGCCUGAAUUCUGUUUCUUUGCAAAGUUUACCCUUUCUCGAUUUUCAUACUUAACCAUUUUAAAAGCCAAACAUUAUCACAUACUCACACAUCUUUCUUUAGCAAUCUCAUAGAUACAAAACAUUCAAAAUGACUAAUCCCUAUACAUCACUUAGGUAUAUACAUUACCUAGGUACAUGCCACAUUAUCAACAGAAAGGUACAUCACUAAAAUGCCUCUAAGGUCGGGAUUACUUUGGAUGCUGGACCGAACACUGGUUUUCUACAAUCCUGCGCACGGAAAAAACCGUACGCUGAGUAUGGGUAUACUCAGUGGUAUUACCAUAAUUCAAAUUAAUAAUAUUAAUUGAUAAAUUAUAUACAUUUAAUUUAUGUCUACAAUUAUUCAUUAAUUAUCUCAUACUUUAACUCAACUUGAUCAUUAAUAACAAUAAGCAAUAUUUCAAUUCUUGUAUUUAAUUGUAUUCAUACCUUAUUUCACUAUCUCAAUUCUGUUGGAUUUUUCGACAUCUCAUUCUAAUAAUUCAUUCCAAUUCAUACAAACUCAAUCAAUUUAUCAACUCAUUCAUUAUCAUUUCUAUUUAUAUUCAAUAUGUACUUUAAAUCUUUUAACACUCAAUUUAUUCAUUAAAUCCAUAACUAAAUUUCAAUAACUUGUAUUCAAUUAAAUUCACAUAUUAUUUCACUCAUUCAAUACCAAUACGGCACAUUAUGCCUAAAACGGUACAUAUAAACUUUAUAAAACAUACCUUAACAUAUUAAUGAUUCACUUUUGUCCACAGCUUAUAAUCUUAGCCCAAAGUAGAUUUUACAGAACACCCCGGAUAUACGGAACAAAUACAGAGAGCACAAAUGUGCUAAACAGAGAGCACCAACGUGCUAAUAUCAGAGAGCACCAACGUGCUAAUAUCAGAGAGCGCACUAAAGUUCCUUAAUAAGUUCCUUAAUGGCAUGCCACUAAUAUCCUGGUAGUUCUAAAUUCCAUCUACUUGGGGAUUAAAUCUGAAUAUCAUUUAUUUAAAUACUUUAUAGAAUUAUUUCAAAAGGACUUAUCAUUUCUUCGUCAUUACAAUUUACUACUUAUUCCGCAAUUCACAAAUAUCACACUUAUUCACAAUUUAAUUCACUUUUAUUCCAUUCAUAUAUAUAUAUAUAUAUAUAUAUAUAUAUAUAUAUAUUUAAUUCAUUUUCCAAUCAAAUUCAUGUACAAUUCAAUAUCAAUAUUCAUCUAUUUUUUUAUACUAAACAUAUUAUUCAAAAUUCAACAAUUACUAUUAAUAAAUUCAAUACCAAUACAUGUGUGUAUAUGUAUCUAUAUAUUUCAUUCAAUUCAAUCAUGAUACUCACCUUAAUUUGCUUAUAAUGUAUAUUAAUUUAAUUUUAUCAAUUAAUAAUUAAAUUCGAAUUAUAGUAAUACUAACCGGAAUUUCUCCUGAGUCAAUCCUUGUCCACCUUCUCCUUUCCUUUCUCGGGCAAUGACUCGUACACGACAUUAGCUACGUAAUUAAACAAUUACAAAUCAUUAAUACACAAUUUCAUUAAAAUAUUUCCUUUUAUACCUAAACUUUACCCAAAUUUUAAUUUAAUCCCUUACCAAUACUAAUUUUAUUUUUCCAUUCUAACUCUAUAUUCUCUCUUAAUUCUUACUAUAAACUCAGUUUAAUUCUUCAAUUUCCCCAUAAAUCCCUAAUUUCGGGAUUCUUUCAAUUUAAUCCCUAUCAAUUCACAACUUAUAUUUUAUUUUACAAAUCAAUCUUUUACUAACUUCUAACUUAAAAUUCAAUCAUUUUAACCUCUAGUUCAUCAAUUAAUUCAACAUAACUCAUGUCUAACAAUCUACUAACUUUCAAAAUAUCAACAUAAAUCAAGUAGUAUUUAUCUCUAGGAUUCCAAAAACUCAAAAAUUAUAAGAAAAGGACUUAAUUUGACUUACCAAUUGAGCUUGGAACCUUAAAACCUUAAAUUUCCCUUUUUCUUUUUCUUUCUUUCUUUCUUUCUUUCCUUCCUUCUCUGCCCGUUUUGCUCUCUGUUUCUUUCUCUGUUUCGUCUCUUCUAUUCUGUUUCUUUUCUUUCUUUUGUUUUAUGUAUAUAUAUAAUAUAAUAUAAUAUAUUAAUAAUAAUAUAAUAUAAAAACAUAAUCAUUACU
RNAcentral lists this long non-coding RNA (10527 nucleotides) under Gossypium barbadense (sea-island cotton). RNAcentral describes it as "long non-coding RNA (GBAR_LNC017970)". The record is from RNAcentral. Lineage: Eukaryota; Viridiplantae; Streptophyta; Magnoliopsida; Malvales; Malvaceae.